GUUUGAAAAAUUCUAAGCAUACCCUUUUCUCGCCGGGCGUCCUCGAGUGAGUGACAUCGUCUUUAAACCCUGUGUGGCAAUCCCUGAUGCACCACUGUGAUGCCCAGGGAAGACAGGGCGACCUGGAAGUCCAACUACUUCCUUAAGAUCAUACAACUUUUGGAUGAUUAUCCAAAAUGCUUCAUUGUGGGAGCGGACAACAUGGGCUCCAAGCAGAUGCAGCAGAUCCGUAUGUCUCUUCGAGGGAAGGCUGUGGUGCUGAUGGGCAAGAACACCAUGAUGCGCAAGGCCAUCUGAGGGCAUCUGGAAAACAACCCAGCUCUGGAGAAACUGUUGCCUCAUAUCCGGGGAAAUGUGGGCUUUGUGUUCACCAAGGAGGACCUCACUGAGAUCAGGGAUAUGCUGCUGGCCAAUAAGGUGCCAGCUGCCGCCCGUGCUGGUGCCAAUAACCCAUGUGAAGUUACCGUGCCAGCCCAGAACACUGGUCUGGGGCCAGAGAAGACCUCCUUCUUCCAGGCUUUAGGUAUUAGUACUAAAAUCUCCAGGGGCACCAUUGAAAUCUUGAGUGAUGUGCAGCUGAUUAAGACUACAGACAAAGUGGGAGCCAAUGAAGCCACAUUUCCCCCUUCUCCUUUGGGCUGGUCAUUCAGCAGGUGUUUGACAAUGGUAGCAUCUACAACCCUGAAGUGCUUGACAUUACAGAAGAAACUCUGCAUUCUCGCUUCCUGGAGGAUGUCCGCAAUGUUGCCAGUGUUUGUCUGCAGACUGGUUACCCAACUGUUGCAUCAGUACCCCAUUCUAUCAUCAAUGGUUACAAGAGAGUCCUUUGUCUUUGGAGAGUCCUUUGUCUUUGGCUUUGUCUGUGGAGACUGAUUAUACCUUUCCACUUGCUGAAAAGGUCAAGGCCUUCUUGGCUGAUCCAUCUGCCUUUGUGGCUGCUGCCCCUGUGGCUGCCACCACCACUGCUGCUCCUGCUGCCACUACAGCCCCAGCCAAGGUUGAAGCCAAAGAAGAGUCGGAAGAGUCGGAUGAGGAUAUGGGAUUUGGUCUCUCUGACUAAUCACCAAAAAGAGCAAACUCAGCCAGCUUUAUUUUCAGAACAGGCAAAUGCUUCUUUUAAGUUAAAAAAAAAAAAAAAAAUUCUAAGCGUACAGCAGACAGUAAUCCACCCUGCCCAUCUAUACUCACAUCUACCCCCUUCCCUUGCAUUAUGUUGAAGCAAUUCCCAUAUAAUUUCAGUUAUAUUUCUUUAUAUGUUUUCUAAAAAAUAGACCUUUAAAAUCAUAAAUACAAGACCAUUAUAACAACAGUAAUUUCUUUUCUUUUUUUUCUUUUGAGACAGAAUCUCAAGCUAUCGUCCUGGGUAGAGUGCCAUGGCACCAUAGCUCACAACAACCUCCAACUCUUGGGCUCAAGCGAUCCUCUUGCCUCAGUUUUUCUAUUUUUAUUAGAGAUAGGAUCUUGCUUUUUGCUUAGGCUGGUCUCGAACCUGUGAGCUCAAGCUAUCCACCACCUCUCCAGAGUGCUAGGGUUACAGGUGUGAGCCACUGCACCAGGCCAAUUAAUAGUAAUUUAUUUUAUUUUAUUUUUUGAGACAGAGUCUCACUUUGUCACCCUCAGUAGAGUGCUAUGGCGUCACAGCUCACAGCAACCUCAAACUCUUGGGCCUAAGUGAUUCUUUUGCCUCAGCCUCCCA
Molecule: RNA transcript, 1696 nt
Organism: Nycticebus coucang (slow loris)
Lineage: Eukaryota; Metazoa; Chordata; Mammalia; Primates; Lorisidae
Gene name: 60S acidic ribosomal protein P0-like
Exons: 1
Source: RefSeq, a predicted model, not a curated record